RNAcentral lists this ribosomal RNA (396 nucleotides) under uncultured bacterium. RNAcentral describes it as "bacterial SSU rRNA". It matches the Rfam family "Bacterial small subunit ribosomal RNA", at positions 39 to 451 of the family's 1533-position model. The record is from RNAcentral.
GGCCGCGGGAAUUCGAUUAAGGCCUAACACAUGCAAGUCGAACGCCCCGCAAGGGGAGUGGCAGACGGGUGAGGAACACGUGGGAACGUACGUUUUGGUGCGGAAUAACUCAGGGAAGCUUGUGCUAAUACCGGGUAAGCCCUUCGGGGGAAAGAUUUAUCGCCAAAAGAUCGGCCCGCGUCUGAUUAGCUAGUUGGGUGAGGUAAAGGCUCACCAAGGCGGCGAUCAGUAGCUGGUCUGAGAGGAUGAUCAGCCACGCUGGGAGUGAGACACGGCCCAGACUCCUACGGGAGGCAGCAGUGGGGAAUAUUGGAAAGUGGGGGCAACCCUGAUCCAGCCAUGCUGCGUGAGUGAUGGGGUCUUCGGAUUGUAAAGCUCUUUGGCGGGACGAUAAUG